Molecule: long non-coding RNA, 1301 nt
Organism: Quercus lobata
Lineage: Eukaryota; Viridiplantae; Streptophyta; Magnoliopsida; Fagales; Fagaceae
Exons: 5
Source: RefSeq, a predicted model, not a curated record
UUGUUCUCAAGCGCUAACCUUUUGCUUCUUUCACUAGUUUUCCUUUAAAGUACUCUUCGAUCGCACAUUAGCCCUUUUGCUUCCUUCACUCUUUGAUCUUAAGCCCUCACCCUCCAUUUGUCACUUUCACUCCCCACAAGUAAGUUUGGUUUUUCCAAAUCACUUCCUAACUUUCUUCAAUUUUUCGUUUCUCACAGGCUUUCUCUUCUGCAAUGCCAAGACUCCGCCCUUCAAUCCCAACGUCCCUUACCGCCACCGUCCAAACCACGCUUCAACACCACCAUCAAAGCUCCCACUUAGGGUUGGAUUUAGAUCGGUUGGGUAUUGAUGAUUUUGAGGUGGAGGACGAGGUCUAACCCAAUUUCCCAUGUCCGUAUUGCUACAAGGACUUUGAUAUCGUGUCAUUGUGUUCGCAUCUAGAAGACGAGCACUCAGGCGAAUCCAAAGUCGAUCUGUGGAUUUCUUCAACCAAGUGAAUUUACAGAAUGGUACCCUCACAGAAUUCUAUACUAAUGAGAAUUGUCUUACAGUGACUACAGGCCCCAAAUAAAAUAGUAUCACCACCUGGAAAAUCCGAGAAGCAGUUGAAAGAGGAUCACACUCAAAGUCAACAGCCCCCGCUAUCCAAGAAGCAAGUUUUACAUAAUUCUCAUUCUUUAAUUAUGUAAAACUUCCCAGUAAUCACCAACUAUAAACAAUAAUUAUGUCUCAUUUCCUUUACUAUUUAAAACUAUAUAGAAUGAAUUAUGUCACAAUUCCUUAGCUACUAAUUAUUUUAUACCAAACUUGUAGCUCUUAGCCACACAUUUGAAUCUUAUUCAACCACAUGAAGUUUCUCAUCAAUUGCCUUAGCCCUGUGGGAAAAGCUUAGGAAUAGUGAUGCAGCUGGGACUAUUAAAAGGGAUGUAAUAGAGAGGAACAUGCACUGAGUGAAUUUAAGCUAUGUGAAGAUCUAAAGAAAAAAAAAAACGGUGCUUUGUUUAGAGUGGAGGUCUUGUUGCGAUCAUGGCUUCACUGGGUUUCUAGAGAGGUGUUGAGAAUAUGGACAAUUGAGAGGUAUUUGCACAUGUGGAAGUACCUCCAUCAUAAUUUCGCUCUACCCGAGUAAAUUUGGUUUCUCUUCCAUGUAAAUAGUGAGAACAAAAUGUUAGACAUUCAUCUGCUAAAUACUUUUCUACAAUAGACCCUUCUGCGUGUGCCUUAUUACGAACAUAACUCUUAAGCUUGUGCAAAUACCUAUAUUUGAAGGCAUAAUAUAAAAUUUUAUCAAAAAUAAAAUACUAGUAUGCAAUUGUAAUUUA